UGUCACGGACAAACUUUGAAACAGGGUGUUUGAUGUAAUGCUUAUGUAUGUCCGUGUCUUUUGGCAUGUUCAUGCCUUGUACAGAAUGUAGAGGGGCGGCCGAAGGCUUAAUAGUCCCACUUUAGUUGGGUUGGUGGCCUCUUUAGGCUUGUAAAAAAAGGUUGUGUCAUGUAGACACGUGCGAGAGCUUUUCGGUCUGUAAUGGACCAUUUUACCCUUUGUUGUGCCACUGUUCAGAGCUUGUAAAGUCUGUUUGUAAUUUGCAUUGUCUAUAAAGUGUUUUUCGGAGAUGUUUGCUUGUGGAUCCCGAUUGAGGCGUUCUCUCUAACCCGUUCUCUCUUUUGGUGGUCCUAAGGGACAAUGGGAGGCUUUGGGGAGGCUGACCUUUGCGGACGGACACGCAAGGGUGCCGCACGACUUAGGCAAAACCAGCUAAGUCCGUGUCAUAUGGUAUCAGAGCGGGACAAGCACUCAUAUAAACACUUAGCAUGCAAACGUGGGGGACCUAGCGGGACUGCGUUGAGGGCAGUCAGCACACACUCGACCGUUUGGGGGAAAACGGGCAUGGAGAUGUAGGGAAAGGAGUCGCUCAGAGGAGCGGGCAUCCGAGAUUGGCAUUCAGAGGAAUGGCCAACCCUUCGCGCAAGAGGCACCACGAGAACAGGCAAGCUUGGAAGAAUUUGGAGCGCACAAAGGUUGGGAUGGCUGAGUUUGAGCUACGGCUCAACGUUGACAACUAUACUUGAUGGUGCUCUAGGCAAGCGAGGCGCUUGGCAAGAAUGAGACCAUGCAGGGUGGAAAGAGUUGCUCAACGACCAAAAGAGUUAUGCAAAGCUCACAGAGGUGAGGGGAAUUGCUAACUCGAAGAUUUUGGUACUCAUGCAUGGGCUUGUAUGCGGACGACGGAAUGUUCGUGGCCAUCCCAAGGCGACCGAAACUCGGCGCCAUGGAGCAUUGAAACUUUCUCUUCGGCAUGUGAAGGAUACGUCCGUCGGAGGCUAAAGUGUGCAACGAGUUUAGCAUGUUGCUAGACCUUGAGGGGUGCAGUGGGGGCUGUAUUGACAUGAAGUCGCAAUCUAGCAAGUGCGUUUGCAGGAGGCAGAACAGUGCACAGUUUGUUUAGCAGAUCGGAGUAGUCCAAGGGGAUGGUGGUCCCCGAAACGAAGAGAGAUGUUGCUCCAACGGGAUAGUUAUCCAGGAGGGAUAAGUCCCGGCUCUCCAGAGGGAGAAUCAAGUGAGACAGACCUCACAAGUUGAGGAGUACCUCAACAAAUAACAACUCCACGAAGCUUGAUGGAUUGAGCAAGCGGCGAGGAGUCGUCGCAUGAUCUCGCUCGAGGGAAUGCAUUGGUGGAUGCAUUGCGAGAUCAAGUGGGGGAGCGACCUGAAGCAACUUAAAUGAAGGCACACUUGGAGUCGAUGUGGAGAUCGGACUCAAGGGAGGGCUGACCCGUGGAAUGGUGGGAGCGAGGGCCACCAUCGACUCAAUGCGAAAACGAGGAGCGGAGUAACUUGGGUGUAACUUGGCGAAGUACCCAAGCCGCAUGAAGGGAGCCAGCAUAGAAGUUGGAACAUGGAGCAGAGGCACAGUGCUUUCCUUAGACAGAGGUCAAGGACAUGGACUCUUGCAGAGGCAAGAGUAGGAUCAUGUUGUUCCAUGGGCCAUUCAUUCUAUCAGAGUGGACUCAUCUUGCAUGGUGCCAAAGACGAAGGGAGCUUCUGGGCACAUGCACCUUAUCUCGGAGGAGCAUUUGAUGGAGGAACUAAGGCGACUCAAUUUGCAGAGGCGAAGUUGAGUUCAGAAGACCUUAGCACGCGGCAAGAGGACGCAAAGGCAGGUACUCUUGAAGAAUAUGCCACAGUGUUGCCAUUCGAGUUGCUAUGAAGGAAGCGGUGCGCAGCGGAGAUUGUGCUGGUAGGGGCAGAGGCUCAGGAUCCAGACAAUAGUGCACAAAUUACAGUGAAGUCGGUGGACUUCGGGAGCUACUAGGCGACGGACGGUCCUAGAGCGGUGCUUCAUCUAGGUGUGACCCAAGAGUGGGUGGAUGAAGGUCGAUUGCCAAAGGAGCGAACAAAAUCGAAGGUGGAGGAGACCCUGCGAUGUAUUGGCAAAGGCCACACAUGGAGGGUUCACAAUUCGAGUUUAUUCCACAAGGAUCAGAAUGCAAUGGAGAUGUCACCAGGAGGCGACAUGGUGCAGCGGAUCGUGGUGGAACAGUUUGUGGCAAUGCGAUACACACGACUGGGUCCCGGGAGGGACUAGAUCAUAUGGAGGUAUGAUCGGGAGUUACUGGGAGCUCCACUUCGGUGAACAACACGACGGCAAGAAGGGCUAUGGAUUCAAGGAGUGAAGGCCAUGGUACCGCAGAGGCGGGUCUUCCGUGCGUGCAUCGAAUUUUGCAUCGGAUGAAAACCUUGGUCAUCAGCAUAUGGGGGCUGGGUUCCACCAAGGGAAGAGUUUGGAUGCAAGUACCAGUGAGUCCCAUGAGAGGGACUUGAUCAUGCAGAGGUAUGAUCGAAGCAGCUGGAGAGUUGGACUACUCCAGAGCUCAUAUUCGCUUAAGGGAGCCCGACAAGUCAGAGGACAAGGUCGAGUAAGCGAACGUUGCUACCAAGGAAGCUAAGGAGAAUAGAAUUGGUGCAAACCCUACAACGCGAUGGCAGAGGCCAUGCAUGGGAGUUGCAGUCUGUCUUUCCAUCGACCAAACAGACUGCUUGGAAAACACAGAGGUGUUGAAGCAGGAGGUCGAAAGGGGCGAGGAAGCGACGACGAGUCCAGAGGGACUUAGCUACCCAAAAUCAAGCAUCAGUCAGAAUGGGGGUGGACUCAAAGGAGUGCCACGGAGACAUAUCUACUGAUCGUGAAGAAAAGGGAUGCAAAUGCGAGGAGACGGAUAGUAGGGCCAUGGGCAUGGCAGCGUCAUGGUACCGCAGAGGCGGGACUUCCGUAAAAGUCAUUGAUCCCUUGCUCUCAUGGAGGGAGAGCGCUUGGUCGUGAAAGGGGCCGAGGAGGUGGAGUAUGCAGAGGCAAUCUCCAAGGACCGAGACAAGGCUGAAGGGCAGAGGCCAAGAAACUUCGUAAGAUCGGUGUCAACAAGUUUCUCAUCAAGAUAGCCGUAAGUGAAGGACUUCGGGUCAUGCAAGAGUGCACGACCAAGGAACGAAGCAAGCAGUACGCGGUGCUGUACCUUUGCUACUCAAUGGAGUAGGCGGCAGGGUUGAUGGAGAAGACGGUACAAUCCGAGAGGCAACCUCAUCUAUCNNNNNNNNNNNNNNNNNNNNGGGCGAAACCGAGUACCCCAGUUCUCUUAUCUAUCUAGCAGAGGAGCUCUGCACAAGUUCAAAGACCCUUCGAAGAUAAUGGAAGACAAUAAUUGUCAAAUCCUCACCAACGGUGAUCAGUGCUACUGAGAGUAGAUUGCCCGCUUCAUUUCCCAACGAAAUGCCAAUCGAAAGCGGAAGUGAUGCGAACCUACUUGGAUGUGACAACUAAUUGAAAGAAGAGUCAAUGAGCAGAUUUUGUGGAGGAAGGACCCAAAACUUCAGAAGUUUUGCGAGGCGAUGCUCGUUAAAGCUCCAACAAGCAUCUACCCAGUUCAAGCAGCAUGUGGAAAUUUUGAGAAACUAGCACAGUAAGAAUGGUCUUUUCCUUCAUUUGGUGGAUCCGCAGGAAUCAACGAGGAUCAAUACAACUCAGCCAACCCCACACCAAAGUCAGAGUCAUUGGCGAGUUGAAGCAGCAUGGCGGAUCAAAGGUUCGACUACUCAAAAACAGCAGCGGAGAGCAGCUGGGAGCCAGGAGGCGCAUUGCAGCUGGAGCAGAAGAUUGAAGACUCAGCAAAGGCGAAGAGUUGCAGUGUUCACUAAGGCUUCGACGAGGACGUCAAAGGGAUAAGUGGGGGAGAAUGUCACGGACAAACUUUGAAACAGGGUGUUUGAUGUAAUGCUUAUAUAUGUCCGUGUCUUUUGGCAUGUUCAUGCCUUGUACAGAAUGUAGAGGGGCGACCGAAGGCUUAAUAGUCCCACUUUAGUUGGGUUGGUGGCCUCUUUAGGCUUGUAAAUAAAGGUUGUGUCAUGUAGACACGUGCGAGAGCUUUUCGGUCUGUAAUGGACCAUUUUACCCUUUGUUGUGCCACUGUUCAGAGCUUGUAAAGUCUGUUUGUAAUUUGCAUUGUCUAUAAAGUGUUUUUCGGAGAUGUUUGCUUGUGGAUCCCGAUUGAGGCGUUCUCUCUAACCCGUUCUCUCUUUGGGUGGUCCUAAGGGACAAUGGGAGGCUUUGGGGAGGCUGACCUUUGCGGACGGACACGCAAGGGUGCCGCACGACUUAGGCAAAACCAGCUAAGUCCGUGUCACCUCGGGA
This 4360-nucleotide long non-coding RNA is filed under the name Musa acuminata (dwarf banana). RNAcentral's name for it is "long non-coding RNA (MACU_LNC006599)". The record is from RNAcentral. Lineage: Eukaryota; Viridiplantae; Streptophyta; Magnoliopsida; Zingiberales; Musaceae.